RNAcentral lists this ribosomal RNA (2705 nucleotides) under Salmonella enterica subsp. enterica serovar Muenchen. Its description in RNAcentral is "partial 23S ribosomal RNA". It matches the Rfam family "Bacterial large subunit ribosomal RNA". The record is from RNAcentral. Lineage: Bacteria; Pseudomonadati; Pseudomonadota; Gammaproteobacteria; Enterobacterales; Enterobacteriaceae.
AAUCCAUAGGUUAAUGAGGCGAACCGGGGGAACUGAAACAUCUAAGUACCCCGAGGAAAAGAAAUCAACCGAGAUUCCCCCAGUAGCGGCGAGCGAACGGGGAGGAGCCCAGAGCCUGAAUCAGCAUGUGUGUUAGUGGAAGCGUCUGGAAAGGCGCGCGAUACAGGGUGACAGCCCCGUACACAAAAGCGCAUGUGCUGUGAGCUCGAUGAGUAGGGCGGGACACGUGGUAUCCUGUCUGAAUAUGGGGGGACCAUCCUCCAAGGCUAAAUACUCCUGACUGACCGAUAGUGAACCAGUACCGUGAGGGAAAGGCGAAAAGAACCCCGGCGAGGGGAGUGAAAAAGAACCUGAAACCGUGUACGUACAAGCAGUGGGAGCACAGGUUUACCUGUGUGACUGCGUACCUUUUGUAUAAUGGGUCAGCGACUUAUAUUCUGUAGCAAGGUUAACCGAAUAGGGGAGCCGGAGGGAAACCGAGUCUUAACCGGGCGUUAAGUUGCAGGGUAUAGACCCGAAACCCGGUGAUCUAGCCAUGGGCAGGUUGAAGGUUGGGUAACACUAACUGGAGGACCGAACCGACUAAUGUUGAAAAAUUAGCGGAUGACCUGUGGCUGGGGGUGAAAGGCCAAUCAAACCGGGAGAUAGCUGGUUCUCCCCGAAAGCUAUUUAGGUAGCGCCUCGUGAAUUCAUCUCCGGGGGUAGAGCACUGUUUCGGCUAGGGGGCCAUCCCGGCUUACCAACCCGAUGCAAACUGCGAAUACCGGAGAAUGUUAUCACGGGAGACACACGGCGGGUGCUAACGUCCGUCGUGAAGAGGGAAACAACCCAGACCGCCAGCUAAGGUCCCAAAGUCAUGGUUAAGUGGGAAACGAUGUGGGAAGGCCCAGACAGCCAGGAUGUUGGCUUAGAAGCAGCCAUCAUUUAAAGAAAGCGUAAUAGCUCACUGGUCGAGUCGGCCUGCGCGGAAGAUGUAACGGGGCUAAACCAUGCACCGAAGCUGCGGCAGCGAACGUAUCACCCAAGACAACUUUGCGGAGUUGACGAUUGACGGAGCGAAGCGACGUCAAAGCGUUCAUUAAAGUCGAGUUGGCUUAGGGAUACGUUCGUUGGGUAGGGGAGCGUUCUGUAAGCCUGUGAAGGUGGCCUGUGAGGGUUGCUGGAGGUAUCAGAAGUGCGAAUGCUGACAUAAGUAACGAUAAAGCGGGUGAAAAGCCCGCUCGCCGGAAGACCAAGGGUUCCUGUCCAACGUUAAUCGGGGCAGGGUGAGUCGACCCCUAAGGCGAGGCCGAAAGGCGUAGUCGAUGGGAAACGGGUUAAUAUUCCCGUACUUGGUGUUACUGCGAAGGGGGGACGGAGAAGGCUAUGUUGGCCGGGCGACGGUUGUCCCGGUUUAAGCGUGUAGGUGUGUGUUCCAGGUAAAUCCGGUUCACUUUAACACUGAGGCGUGACGACGAGGCACUACGGUGCUGAAGCAACAAAUGCCCUGCUUCCAGGAAAAGCCUCUAAGCAUCAGGUAACAUCAAAUCGUACCCCAAACCGACACAGGUGGUCAGGUAGAGAAUACCAAGGCGCUUGAGAGAACUCGGGUGAAGGAACUAGGCAAAAUGGUGCCGUAACUUCGGGAGAAGGCACGCUGACACGUAGGUGAAGUGAUUUACUCAUGGAGCUGAAGUCAGUCGAAGAUACCAGCUGGCUGCAACUGUUUAUUAAAAACACAGCACUGUGCAAACACGAAAGUGGACGUAUACGGUGUGACGCCUGCCCGGUGCCGGAAGGUUAAUUGAUGGGGUCAGCGCAAGCGAAGCUCCUGAUCGAAGCCCCGGUAAACGGCGGCCGUAACUAUAACGGUCCUAAGGUAGCGAAAUUCCUUGUCGGGUAAGUUCCGACCUGCACGAAUGGCGUAAUGAUGGCCAGGCUGUCUCCACCCGAGACUCAGUGAAAUUGAACUCGCUGUGAAGAUGCAGUGUACCCGCGGCAAGACGGAAAGACCCCGUGAACCUUUACUAUAGCUUGACACUGAACAUUGAGCCUUGAUGUGUAGGAUAGGUGGGAGGCUUUGAAGCGUGGACGCCAGUCUGCGUGGAGCCGACCUUGAAAUACCACCCUUUAAUGUUUGAUGUUCUAACGUGGACCCGUAAUCCGGGUUGCGGACAGUGUCUGGUGGGUAGUUUGACUGGGGCGGUCUCCUCCUAAAGAGUAACGGAGGAGCACGAAGGUUGGCUAAUCCUGGUCGGACAUCAGGAGGUUAGUGCAAUGGCAUAAGCCAGCUUGACUGCGAGCGUGACGGCGCGAGCAGGUGCGAAAGCAGGUCAUAGUGAUCCGGUGGUUCUGAAUGGAAGGGCCAUCGCUCAACGGAUAAAAGGUACUCCGGGGAUAACAGGCUGAUACCGCCCAAGAGUUCAUAUCGACGGCGGUGUUUGGCACCUCGAUGUCGGCUCAUCACAUCCUGGGGCUGAAGUAGGUCCCAAGGGUAUGGCUGUUCGCCAUUUAAAGUGGUACGCGAGCUGGGUUUAGAACGUCGUGAGACAGUUCGGUCCCUAUCUGCCGUGGGCGCUGGAGAACUGAGGGGGGCUGCUCCUAGUACGAGAGGACCGGAGUGGACGCAUCACUGGUGUUCGGGUUGUCAUGCCAAUGGCACUGCCCGGUAGCUAAAUGCGGAAGAGAUAAGUGCUGAAAGCAUCUAAGCACGAAACUUGCCCCGA